GCCUGAUUAGCUCAGUCGGCAGAGCGCAAGACUCUUAAUCUUGUGGUCAAGGGUUCGAGCCCCUUAUCAGGCA
Transfer RNA from Micromonas pusilla CCMP1545, 73 nucleotides. It matches the Rfam family "tRNA". Rfam says of the family: Transfer RNA (tRNA) molecules are approximately 80 nucleotides in length. Their secondary structure includes four short double-helical elements and three loops (D, anti-codon, and T loops). Lineage: Eukaryota; Viridiplantae; Chlorophyta; Mamiellophyceae; Mamiellales; Mamiellaceae. The record is from Rfam.